GGCGUCGUCGGAGAUGCGGGGUGUUCGCCUCCUUUUAGUUGGGUUUUCUGAGCUUCAGCGCAGCAGGAGGGCGGGGGCGCCCCGUGAGCACCAGGGUUUCUCCCGCUGCUGGGUUCUCCUUGGCACUCGCUGCUCCAGACUCAGGGUGAAGCUCUUGCCUGCGGGAGCCCAGUUUCUUCAGGAACCACCCGGAGCAAGAGGGAGGGUGGCAAGCCUGCCUGGAAGUCAACCCACGGCUACACUUCAGCAUAGUGGAUCUCUCUGUUCUGCUGCCACUGUCGUUGUUGUUGACUGUGGACCCUCCGCUGCCCUCAGGAACUGAGCUCUAGGGGGAGACAGAAAAUGACAGGGUGCUUUCUGACAGGACACCGGAAUGGCUUUCAACGUGGGACUGUCUCCUCCAGGCGGAGAAAGUGCAUCCAGAUGCCUCCACACACCAGGGCCCAGCAGGCAGAGCGGGUCACCUGGAGGUGCCCCUGCAGUGGGAACCAGUGUAGCCACAGCGGCCGCUCCUCGCACCCUAUUGGACCUGCAUGGGAAGAGCAGAGCCAGUGAAGCCCAAGCACGGAGGAGGCUCUUUCCUUAGUGACACCCCCCGGGGAGUGCUGCAUGGACUCAGAAGCAAUAAAGUGCAGAUGGAAACCAGGAGGCCCUACCGAGGCACCACUUGCUGGCGGGUGCUUCACCAGUUCUGUUGCCCUCUCGGCCCUUCACCUGCUUUGCUCCUGGGACUGCUGUGCUUGCGGACAUCAGAGCUCCACCCCUAUGUUCUCAUGCUGCUCCUGGCCCCUCUGGCUGGGCACAGCCCCUGACCACUCUCCAGGGCCUCUGCCUCCGCUGGUGUGCUCCUUUCACUAUGGCCACUGAGUGGCAGCCUUGGAGCAGGGAAGUGAAUUCUAGGGAGGUGCUGUUGAUCAUCUAAUCACCAGCAGGGAGAAAUCUUCUCUUGUGUUUUCCUCCAAAGGGUGCACAGAAAAGGCAACAUUUUUAAAUCCUAUUAAGGAGUCCUAGAGCUCUGGCCUUGUAGACUCCGCUGGAAUGAAGGGUAGAAUGGGAAUGGUGUUCAUGGCCCACUGUCUCUGCAGGGGCUGGGCUGAACAGGAGGCACUUUCUUGGUGUUAUUCGGGUGGUGCUAGAGAGCUGGGGGACUGGGCUGGUGGUCUUCCUAAUGCU
Long non-coding RNA from Talpa occidentalis (Iberian mole), 1173 nucleotides. RefSeq lists it as uncharacterized. The transcript is spliced from 4 exons. The record is from RefSeq and is a predicted model, not a curated record. Lineage: Eukaryota; Metazoa; Chordata; Mammalia; Eulipotyphla; Talpidae.